RNAcentral lists this transfer RNA (71 nucleotides) under Loxodonta africana (African savanna elephant). It matches the Rfam family "tRNA". From Rfam's summary of the family: Transfer RNA (tRNA) molecules are approximately 80 nucleotides in length. Lineage: Eukaryota; Metazoa; Chordata; Mammalia; Proboscidea; Elephantidae. The record is from Rfam by way of RNAcentral.
GUCUUGGUGAUUCUAUGGCAGAAUUUUCCCCUUCCAUGUGGGAAACCUGGGUUCAAUUCCUGGCCAAUGCA